Molecule: long non-coding RNA, 493 nt
Filed under: Serinus canaria (Common canary)
Lineage: Eukaryota; Metazoa; Chordata; Aves; Passeriformes; Fringillidae
Description: lncRNA (ENSSCAG00000005243.1)
Source: RNAcentral
AGUGAACUUAGAGAAAAGGACACAGGAGACAAGAAACAAGGACUGAAUAUCUUGUUUGCUGUCUCUAUGGCUGGGAAAGGCACAAUAAACAUGUUGAAAGCAUCAGCUGGGCUGGUUGCUUUUACUGCUGCUGAGAAAGGUGCAGAAAUGUUAUUCGACGAAUUCAGAAGGAGAAAGAGGGAGAAAACCAACAAGUUCCUGGAAUCCAAGAUGGACGAGAACAUGCAGGACCUCAACAAAAAAGUAAAAGCUCUGCAUAAAGAUUUCAAAAAAUUAGAGGAGUCCACAAAGAAUGAGGUCGAGACAAUGAGAGCACACCUGGAGAAGCAAGGAUGCAAGGAGAUGAAUGUUGUAUUGCUCCUGUUAUCAGUGUUGGACAAGAACCUCCAGGAGUUCUCCCAGAAAAUUGAAACUAUGGAAGAAGAUGUACAGAAAUAGCCAGAGACCACAAAGCGUGACCUUCAGCUUCACAGACAUGAACUGGAGAGCCAAG